GUCUAUGGCCAUACCACCCUGAAUGCGCCUGAUCUCGUCUGAUCUCAGAAGCUAAGCAGGGUCGGGCCUGGUUAGUACUUGGAUGGGAGAAAAUUGAAACACUGGGAAUUUAAAUC
This 116-nucleotide ribosomal RNA is filed under the name Dasypus novemcinctus (nine-banded armadillo). Lineage: Eukaryota; Metazoa; Chordata; Mammalia; Cingulata; Dasypodidae. The record is from RNAcentral.